UCGAGCCUGCCGAGAGGAGCUUGAUGAUUUCAACUAAAAAGGAAAAGUUUUCUUUUUAUUUACUUAAAGAAUCACUUUUUUUUAUACGUAGGCCUAGGUUGUGUCCGAGGAUGAAAUGAACGUUGUGGUUAUAUUAGGCUACUUUUGGAUAUGUGUCACAAAUAUUAAACUGUUUUCUUGUAGGAAACAAGUAAACUUGGCGCCGUGCAUUUCAUUAAAGCUAAAUUCGCCAUUUUUUUUACUGAAAAAAACCCUCAAAGUGCAAGGACUGGAUUUUCAAAACACUUUCAUGACUGACUGAAAAUAAGAGUUUUAGCUUUUUUUUGUUGCAUAACUGUUUUCAUAUGUUUACGGCCUGCAGUGCACGAUGGGUCUGCGUGUGAAUGAGGGCAGUGUGUUUUGCCGGUGGGCCUAACGUUACUGUGUUGUUUUGUAACAGUAGAAACUCCUGUCAAAAAUGAUUAAAGAAUACAUUAUAACCUGUGUGCUAAAGCUACUUCUACGACAAUAAGAAAAAAAAAUUCUCAUUUCACAAACUUUUUUAGGAUGGAUUUUGUUUUUUUUAAAAACUUCUAGGCCUGCUUACAUUUUUGAUAAAUUCUUAAACACCAGAAAUGGCUGAGGAGGCCUUGGCUGACAAACAGACAUAAUCUCUACAUUUGUUAAUAGUCUUAGUUAUAAAUAGGAAUAACUGUAUUAUUGAUAAUCUACAUAUAUUUUUGAAAUAGGGCACUUGUUCUUAACAUUAGUGUGGUCUAAUAUUAUUAUUAUUAUUAUUAUUAUUAUUAUUAUUAUUAUUAUUGUAUAUUUAAAAGAACUUAAAGUCUCUAAGUGUAAGUGCAGUGAUGCUGUUUCAUGCAUCAGUGACAACAACUGCCUGCCCCUAUUAUGACCCACAGUGGUUAUAUUUAAUCAGAUCCACCAGAGUAGAGUUGUUGAAAUCAUAAACAUCAUCUAGAUGUCUUUGGCCUUUUCAUACCUUCAUGUCAACUCUCUAUUUGCAGGCGUUGGUUGGAGUAGUUGAGCAAAAUUUGUAACAUUAAAA
This is a long non-coding RNA of Etheostoma spectabile (orangethroat darter), 1045 nucleotides long. RefSeq lists it as uncharacterized. NCBI's taxonomy places the organism in Eukaryota, Metazoa, Chordata, Actinopteri, Perciformes, Percidae. The transcript has 2 exons. The record is from RefSeq and is a predicted model, not a curated record.